Molecule: long non-coding RNA, 1155 nt
Organism: Cyprinus carpio (common carp)
Lineage: Eukaryota; Metazoa; Chordata; Actinopteri; Cypriniformes; Cyprinidae
Source: Ensembl
AUGAUCAUAUCUUUCCUCACUGCCCAAAGCACAGACCAGCCCAGCAACAACACCACAGUCAAGCACAAAGACAAAGACGACUUCAGGAGCAAACUGUCCUUACUACAGGCUGAAGAUGAUGCAGCUACUGCAAGAGAGGGACAAGCUAAAGGCCCAACUAGCAACACUGGAUUCCCAGCUCACACAGCAGACACAGAGCCACUGGGCACUGAUAACAGCCCUGAAAGAGGAGAUGAGAGAACUGAACGAGGAGAAAGAACCCAUCGCAAAGACCUCACCCCCAUAGAGGACACCCACCACACUGACCACAACUCCCAGAACACAGUAGCAGACCCCAGCCAAAAACCUCCUUCCUCACCAAACCCUCUACCCAGCUCACAGCCAGCCUCAGAAUCAGACACUUCUUCAGCACCCACGGAACACACACAAAAACCAGACACUGUUCUCAUAACUGACUCAAAUGGGAAGUUUAUAGAUGAGAAGAAGCACUUCCCCAAACACAUAGUGGCCAAACUCCGGUGCCCAAACACCCAUAGCACCCUCAAACUGCUGGACAUGGACAAACUUGGGUCACCAAGCCACAUAAUAAUUCACACUGGCACAAACGACCUGAGAACACAACAAGAAAGAGUGGCGACAGCACUACAGAGGGUGGUUGAAAAAGCCACAACCACCUUUCCAAGUGCAAAAAUCACCAUCUCCACACUGCUGCCACAAAAGAACUUCCACCCAGAUACAAUUCAGCGGGUGAAUGCAAACCUCUCCAGAGCCUGUGCACUCCAACCUCACGUACACCUGGCACAUCACGCCUCCCUGGACCUCACAUGCCUCUACAACCACGUCCACCUGUACAGAGCCACUGUUCCUGCCUUUGCAAAGACAUUAAAAGAUGUUGCACUAAACCGUAUCAUCCACACCACUCCCAGAAACAGCAGAGCUAGGCGGAACCCAACCAGACCGGGAAACAACCGCACAGCACCAGAAGCAGGCCAACCCCCCCCCCCAAAAACAAAGCAUCCUCGUCCAGCACCUGAUCAAAGCCUGCGAUCAACUCUCUACCCCAUCCACAGACCAGAGCACAGCCUCUCCUGCCUACACCCCCCACCCCGCACAUUCAGCAGAGCCCUGGCAACCUCAGCUAUGCCCAGACAGUAA